Molecule: long non-coding RNA, 755 nt
Filed under: Nicotiana benthamiana
Lineage: Eukaryota; Viridiplantae; Streptophyta; Magnoliopsida; Solanales; Solanaceae
Description: long non-coding RNA (NBEN_LNC021396)
Source: RNAcentral
UUGGUCUUUGGACUUCACGUACUCUACUUGUACAUCCUUUCUUGUGAUGCACUCUCUUAUGUAGUGAUAGCGUGUGUCAAUAUGCUUGCUUCGAUCACGGAACACCAGAUUUUUCUCCAAUGCCAACGUCGACUUAUUAUCCACGCAAAUUGUAGUUGGAUCUUCUUGUGGCCAUCAGAGCUCCUUUAGCAAACUUCGCAUCCAAAUUGCAUGUCAUACACAAGAGGUAGCGGCAACGUACUCAGCUUCACAUGUGGAUAGAGAGACAAUUGGUUGUUUCUUGGACAUCCAAGUGAAGGCGGUGUCUCCCAUGAAGAACACGAAACCCGUGGUACUUUUUCUAUCAUCAAUGUCUCCGGCCCAAUCGCUAUCGAUUUGAGGUAGCGGAGAAUUCUUCUUGCAGCCUUCAAGUGUGUAGUAGUUAGAUUCUCCAUGUAGCGACUUAUGAGUCCGGUGGCGUAGAGAAUGUCGGGUCUCGUGCAAGUCAAAUAUCGUAAGCUCCCAACUAAGCUCUUGAACAUCGUCGUGUGAGAGAAUUCUUCUUGCAGCCAUCAAGUGAAUAGUAGUUGGAUUCUCCAUGUAGCAACUUAUGAGGCGGGUGGCGUAGAGAAUGUCGGGUCUCGUGCAAGUCAAAUAUCGUAAGCUCCCAACUAAGAUCUUGAACAUCGUCGUGUCCACUUUCUCAGCUUCAUCAUGCUUCGACAACUUGAUCCCGCACUCCACCGGUGUGUUGACUGGGUUGCAAUCANNNNNNN